UAGGGAAUCUUGCGCAAUGGAGGAAACUCUGACGCAGCGACGCCGCGUGGGCGAUGAAGGCUUUCGGGUCGUAAAGCCCUGUCGGAAGGGAAGAAAAACGAGUUGGCUAAUAUCCAACUCGCUUGACGGUACCUUAGAAGGAAGCACCGGCUAACUACGUGCCAGCAGCCGCGGUAAUACGUAGGGUGCUAACGUUGUUCGGAAUUAUUGGGCGUAAAGCGCGUGUAGGUGGUUAUGUAAGUUGGGUGUGAAAUCCCUGGGCUCAACCGAGGAAGUGCACCCAAAACUACACAACUAGAGGACGGUAGAGGAAGGUGGAAUUCCUAGUGUAGAGGUGAAAUUCGUAGAUAUUAGGAGGAAUACCUGUGGCGAAGGCGGCCUUCUGGGCCGUUUCUGACACUGAGACGCGAAAGCGUGGGGAGCAAACAGG
This 430-nucleotide ribosomal RNA is filed under the name uncultured bacterium. Its description in RNAcentral is "bacterial SSU rRNA". It matches the Rfam family "Bacterial small subunit ribosomal RNA", at positions 355 to 776 of the family's 1533-position model. The record is from RNAcentral.